RNAcentral lists this ribosomal RNA (428 nucleotides) under uncultured bacterium. Its description in RNAcentral is "bacterial SSU rRNA". It matches the Rfam family "Bacterial small subunit ribosomal RNA", at positions 355 to 775 of the family's 1533-position model. The record is from RNAcentral.
UGGGGAAUUUUGGACAAUGGGGGAAACCCUGAUCCAGCAAUGCCGCGUGUGUGAAGAAGGCCUUCGGGUUGUAAAGCACUUUUGUCAGGAACGAAACGGGCUGGGUUAAUACCUUGGCCUAAUGACGGUACCUGAAGAAUAAGCACCGGCUAACUACGUGCCAGCAGCCGCGGUAAUACGUAGGGUGCAAGCGUUAAUCGGAAUUACUGGGCGUAAAGCGUGCGCAGGCGGUUGUGCAAGACAGAUGUGAAAUCCCCGGGCUUAACCUGGGAACUGCAUUUGUGACUGCACGGCUAGAGUGUGUCAGAGGGGGGUAGAAUUCCACGUGUAGCAGUGAAAUGCGUAGAUAUGUGGAGGAAUACCGAUGGCGAAGGCAGCCCCCUGGGAUGGCACUGACGCUCAUGCACGAAAGCGUGGGGAGCAAACAG